This is a non-coding RNA of Pangasius djambal, 74 nucleotides long. The record is from the annotation of a GenBank genome assembly. NCBI's taxonomy places the organism in Eukaryota, Metazoa, Chordata, Actinopteri, Siluriformes, Pangasiidae.
GGCAGUCGUGGCCUAAUGGUCAGAGAGUCAGGCUUGUAACCGGAAGGUUGUGGGUUUGAGUCUCAGGUCUGGCA